RNAcentral lists this long non-coding RNA (1263 nucleotides) under Malus domestica (apple). RNAcentral describes it as "long non-coding RNA (MDOM_LNC001360)". The record is from RNAcentral. Lineage: Eukaryota; Viridiplantae; Streptophyta; Magnoliopsida; Rosales; Rosaceae.
AGGAACAGUACCACUGCUGGAUAAUUGGAAAGUCCCUGUGUGUCAACCUCUGUGCUUCGUGGCAAGGUAGACUAGCAAACAUGCCCAACCUUUACUCACAUUCGAGAAAACACUCCCAACAAGAUUGCUUGCUCCAAAAUCAAAGAGGCACCGUCCUCCGAAUCUCGAGAGCCAGACUCCCAACAUGACUACUUUCUUAAAAAUCGAAGAGAGGGUAAAGGAACAGUACCAUUGCUGGAUAAUUGGAAAGUCCCUGUGUGUCAACCUCUGUGCUUCGUGGCAAGGUAGACUAGCAAACAUGCCCAACCUUUACUCACAUUCGAGAAAAACACUCCCAACAAGAUUGCUUGCUCCAAAAUCGAAGAGGCACCGCCCUCCGAAUCUCGAGAGCCAGACUCCCAACAUGAUUACUUUCUCAAAAAUCGAAGAGACACUGCUCCCCGAAUCUUCGAAAGCCAGACCCCCAGCAUGAUUGCUUUCUCAAAAAUCGAUGAGGCAUCGUUCUCCGAAUCAAUCGAAGAGGCGCUCGCUUUCUCAAAAGCUGGACUGCUCAGAGACCACGAGGGCCGAUCUCAGAAAUCGAAGAGGCACCUACUUUUCUAGCCUUGUCAGCACCUGUCACACGCACACUCAGCUUUGCAGAAAUUAUGGGCAUUCUGUCGAAGACUUCUGGUGAAGUAGAAAGCACAUGAAUCUUACUGUUCAAUCACCCACUUCCCACACACAACAAUAGCUCAUGGGUACCACAGAUAACUUUGCCAAAGUUCUCUGCCAAAGUUGAGCACGUGAAGCUUGCAGCUCCCACUACAUCGCUCUGACCAAGAAAGGUAAAAGAAUAGCAAAGAAACAGCACUAACAAAGUUUAGACACAUAAAUUUUGAAGGUCUAGCUACCAUAUUAUUACCCACAAGGGUAAAGGAACAGUACCACUGCUGGAUAAUUGGAAAGUCCCUGUUUGUCAACCUCUGUGCUUCGUGGCAAGGUAGACUAGCAAACAUGUCCAACCUUUACUCACAUUCGAGAAAACACUCCCAACAAGAUUGCUUGCUCCAAAAUCGAAGAGGCACCGUCCUCCGAAUCUCGAGAGCCAGACUCCCAACAUGACUACUUUCUCAAAAUCGAAGAGAGGGUAAAGGAACAGUACCAUUGCUGGAUAAUUGGAAAGUCCCUGUGUGUCAACCUUUGUGCUUCGUGGCAAGGUAAACUAGCAAACAUGCCCAACCUUUACUCACAUUCGAGACAACACUCCCAACAAGAUUGCUU